Long non-coding RNA from Carassius gibelio (silver crucian carp), 1304 nucleotides. RefSeq lists it as uncharacterized. The record is from RefSeq and is a predicted model, not a curated record. NCBI's taxonomy places the organism in Eukaryota, Metazoa, Chordata, Actinopteri, Cypriniformes, Cyprinidae. The transcript is spliced from 3 exons.
UUUUGCGGAAAAUUGGUUACUAUGGUAACUUGUUUGAAAGGCCUACAUUCUGGCGGUGUCAAAUAUCAACAUGUCUGGGUGGGUCCGGAAACAGCUUCAAACAGGUUUAGUUCAUACCUGACGACCACACCUGAAAAACGACGAAAUAAUAUUUCAUAUUCGUGAAGUGAAGAUACCGAGAAUAAAGGACAAACUGCACAUUGCACCCAAAGUUUUUUUAUGACACAAUUCCAAAUUUUGGGGAGCCAGAGCUAUAGCCAGAGGGGGGACCAAGCUUGUUGACACGGGGGCACUGGCCCCCCUCGCCAGAGAAACAGUUUGUAGAAAGCAGUUAACAUGGGGUGUUCUGGUUUGAAACACUGCAAAGUGGCCCUGGGCUUUGCUAUUAUUUUUGACAUUUUUGGCUUUACGGCCCUGUUUCUGGGGCUCUUUGUGCCACUGGAAAUGAAGGGGAGAGAUUUCGGCGACCUUCUUGUGUACACUGGGGCACUCUUGGUACUGAUAUCUCUUGGCGGUUGGGUCAUGUGGUACAGCGGCAACAUUGAGGGUAUGACAACACAGAAGGAUCUGAGGGGAAUCGGCAAUGCCGUGGAUCACUUGGCCCGCAGCCUCAGCAAGAAAAUAUAUACUCAUCGUGUCCACAGAGAGCCCUAACUUUUUGACAGUGGUGCUGUUUGGUAGUUUUAUUUCUAAUUUCUGUUUUUUUACAUUUAAAAAAGUACCUAAUUGUUGUGCCUGACAGAUUAAAUACAGAGAUUUAAAGGAGAAAAAUUGUAUUAUCAAAUUAAGUAUUCUGACCUUACACCUUGCUUAGGUAAACUGCCUGGAAACAGACUGCAAUAAAUAUUUGAAUAAUUCAAGUUUGCUUUUUUAAUAUAAAGAUUAGAUUUAAUAUAAUACUACUACUGUAGUUUGUUCCGUUACUGUAACAAGUAAUUAAAAACGAAACAAAUUGUUACAAUUUUACUUUAAUGUAGCACAAUGCAUUUUUACCAUUUAUUUUUAUUUACCGUUGUUUUUGGCAAUUUAUGGCCAAGAGCAGUGUUUUACUUUCUUUAAAGUGUGUUUUAGUUAUCUUUUUUUUUUCAAUAAACAUUUCAACAAAAUGUAUAUGAUCUUAACUGAUAUUUGGCAAAUUGUCAGUAUUGUUUUAUAUUAAGUGAAAAUGAUGAAUGGCCUACUAAGAAUAUUGUGAUCCACUGGAAGACGAUAUUUGCAGUACUUCGUAUGAUCUCUAGGUGGAGACACACUUGAACCUUUCAUGUUCUGUCAAGAGUUUCUAGCGGUCACAUUUUUACAUGAUU